RNAcentral lists this ribosomal RNA (450 nucleotides) under Homocyrtus dromedarius. RNAcentral describes it as "partial large subunit ribosomal RNA". It matches the Rfam family "Archaeal large subunit ribosomal RNA", at positions 1944 to 2601 of the family's 2987-position model. The record is from RNAcentral. Lineage: Eukaryota; Metazoa; Arthropoda; Insecta; Coleoptera; Tenebrionidae. RNAcentral also lists the same sequence under 2 other names.
CAAAAACAUGUCCUUUUGUUUAUAAUUUAAGGUCUGACCUGCCCAAUGAUUUUUAAAUGGCCGCAGUAUUUUGACUGUGCAAAGGUAGCAUAAUCAUUAGUUUCUUAAUUGGAAGCUGGAAUGAAUGGUUUGAUGAAAAAUUGACUGUCUCUGUUUAAAUGAUUUAGAAUUUUAUUUUUAAGUUAAAAAGCUUAAAUUUUUUAUAAAGACGAGAAGACCCUAUAGAGUUUUAUAGUUAUGUAAGUUGAGAUUUAAUUGGUUUUUUUUGUUAAAAUUUAUUUAAUUAUUUUGUUGGGGUGACAUUAAAAUUUGAUAAACUUUUAAUUUUUUAAACAUUUAUAAGUGAAUUUUUGAUCCUAAUUUUUAGAUUAAUAGAAAAAUUACCUUAGGGAUAACAGCGUAAUUUUUUUGGAAAGUUCUUAUUGAUAAAAAAGUUUGCGACCUCGAUGU